GACGAACGCUGGCGGCGUGCUUAACACAUGCAAGUCGAACGGAAAGGCCCUGCUUUUGUGGGGUGCUCGAGUGGCGAACGGGUGAGUAACACGUGAGUAACCUGCCCUUGACUUUGGGAUAACUUCAGGAAACUGGGGCUAAUACCGGAUAGGAGCUCCUGCUGCAUGGUGGGGGUUGGAAAGUUUCGGCGGUUGGGGAUGGACUCGCGGCUUAUCAGCUUGUUGGUGGGGUAGUGGCUUACCAAGGCUUGGACGGGUAGCCGGCCUGAGAGGGUGACCGGCCACAUUGGGACUGAGAUACGGCCCAGACUCCUACAGGACGCAGCAGUGGGGAAUAGUGCACAAUGGGCGGAAGCCUGAUGCAGCAACGCCGCGUGCGGGAUGACGGCCUUCGGGUUGUAAACCGCUUUCGCCUGUGACGAAGCGUGAGUGACGGUAAUGGGUAAAGAAGCACCGGCUAACUACGUG
RNAcentral lists this ribosomal RNA (468 nucleotides) under uncultured bacterium. RNAcentral's name for it is "partial 16S ribosomal RNA". It matches the Rfam family "Bacterial small subunit ribosomal RNA", at positions 28 to 507 of the family's 1533-position model. The record is from RNAcentral.